GGAACUUAUAAACCUCGGGUUCGAUGUUAUGACACCUAUCAGUUAUCCUUGAAGUUUGAAAGGUGUUUAGAUUCAGAGGUUGUCACCUUUGAAACUUUGUCUGAUGACUAUUCAAAGAUUGUUUUCUUACAUAAUGAUAGAUACAUCGAAUUCCACUCACAAUCGGGUUUUUACUACAAAACCAGAAUACCAAAGUUCGGGAGAGAUUUCUCCUACCACUAUCCUUCCUGUGACUUGUACUUUGUUGGCGCAAGGUAUUGGGUCUGAUCCUUUGUUUUCUCCUUUCCACCCCACAAACGGCUUCUGUUGUUGAAAUCAAGGAGAGGAUUUUUUUUUUUUUUUAAAGA
Molecule: non-coding RNA, 347 nt
Organism: Leptonychotes weddellii (Weddell seal)
Lineage: Eukaryota; Metazoa; Chordata; Mammalia; Carnivora; Phocidae
Source: RefSeq, a predicted model, not a curated record